Molecule: ribosomal RNA, 465 nt
Filed under: Vreelandella stevensii
Lineage: Bacteria; Pseudomonadati; Pseudomonadota; Gammaproteobacteria; Oceanospirillales; Halomonadaceae
Description: partial 16S ribosomal RNA
Rfam family: Bacterial small subunit ribosomal RNA
Source: RNAcentral
CCUACAGGAGGCAGCAGUGGGGAAUAUUGGACAAUGGGGGCAACCCUGAUCCAGCCAUGCCGCGUGUGUGAAGAAGGCCCUCGGGUUGUAAAGCACUUUCAGUGAGGAAGAACGCCUGGUGGUUAAUACCCAUCAGGAAAGACAUCACUCACAGAAGAAGCACCGGCUAACUCCGUGCCAGCAGCCGCGGUAAUACGGAGGGUGCGAGCGUUAAUCGGAAUUACUGGGCGUAAAGCGCGCGUAGGUGGCUUGAUAAGCCGGUUGUGAAAGCCCCGGGCUCAACCUGGGAACGGCAUCCGGAACUGUCAAGCUAGAGUGCAGGAGAGGAAGGUAGAAUUCCCGGUGUAGCGGUGAAAUGCGUAGAGAUCGGGAGGAAUACCAGUGGCGAAGGCGGCCUUCUGGACUGACACUGACACUGAGGUGCGAAAGCGUGGGUAGCAAACAGGAUUAGAUACCCCGGUAGUC